Molecule: unclassified non-coding RNA, 812 nt
Filed under: Hevea brasiliensis (rubber tree)
Lineage: Eukaryota; Viridiplantae; Streptophyta; Magnoliopsida; Malpighiales; Euphorbiaceae
Source: RNAcentral
UAGGGCACCAGUCAACAAAUUGGAUGGUGCGCUUAGUCUUGAUGGUAGCCACAGCAGCAUUCACAUCCUUUGGCACAACAUCACCACGGAACAUAAGGCAGCAAGCCAUAUACUUGCCGUGGCGAGGAUCACACUUGACCAUCAUGGAAGAUGGCUCAAAAGCACUGUUGGUGAUCUCUGCAACUGACAGCUGCUCAUGGUAGGCUUUCUCAGCUGAAAUGACAGGAGCAUAGGAUGAAAGCAUAAAAUGAAUUCUGGGGUAGGGAACAAGGUUGGUCUGGAAUUCAUUGACAUCAACAUUCAGGGCUCCAUCAAACCUCAAAGAAGCAGUAAGUGAAGAGAUAACCUGUGAAAUAAGACGGUUAAGAUUGGUGUAUGUGGGACGCUCAAUGUCCAAUGAGCGCCUGCAGAUGUCAUAGAUAGCCUCAUUGUCAAGAAGAAUUGCAACAUCAGUGUGCUCAAGAAGGGAGUGGGUUGACAGGACACUGUUGUAAGGUUCCACCACAGAGGUUGAGACCUGUGGUGAUGGAUAAAUGGUGAAACCAAGUUUUGAUUUCUUUCCAUAGUCCACAGAGAGACGCUCCAGCAGAAGUGACCCAAGACCAGAACCAGUUCCACCACCUACAGCAUUGAAAACCAGGAAACCUUGAAGACCAGUACAGUUAUCAGCAAGCUUCCUGAUACGAUCCAAGCAGAGAUCAACUAUCUCCUUCCCAAUUGUAUAAUGUCCACGGGCAAAGUUGUUGGCUGCAUCUUCUUUGCCACUUAUGAGUUGUUCAGGGUGAAAGAGCUGACGGUAAGUUCCUGUCCUC